This 423-nucleotide long non-coding RNA is filed under the name Rattus norvegicus (Norway rat). Its description in RNAcentral is "long non-coding RNA NONRATT016170". Lineage: Eukaryota; Metazoa; Chordata; Mammalia; Rodentia; Muridae. The record is from RNAcentral.
GAGACAGGCCUCAGAGUAGGUGCUCGUCAGUCAAAGUGAACCAGGGUGCUGAUGGAAUACGUAUAUGGACUUUUUGUUUCUCACUACUCUAAGCUGCCCACUUCCUGGAAAACUAGGAAUUGCAUGGACCAUAACCUAGGAACCACUAUGUGUUCAGCUUCAAGUCACCAUUCCUGUUUUUCCAUUUGCUACUUGAUUUGCUGCAGUCCUCACCUUAGACACAGUGAAGCUGUAUUUAAGGAACAAUGUUACUGUUGGGGAAGUUUUGCAAAUAACUGCUGUUUUCUUUGUAGGAACAUGUUCCCACCCAAUCUGGUAGAAGCCUGCUUUAAACAGUUUAAAACCAGCUAUGAGAAGAGAAGCUUUAAAGUGCCCAUCCAGGCCAACGAAACACUGUUGGGCGCCGUGAUCAACAACGUGUCA